Helianthus annuus (common sunflower) is the source of this 1759-nucleotide RNA transcript. RefSeq lists it as uncharacterized. The transcript has 13 exons. The record is from RefSeq and is a predicted model, not a curated record. NCBI's taxonomy places the organism in Eukaryota, Viridiplantae, Streptophyta, Magnoliopsida, Asterales, Asteraceae.
UUCAAUCAAUUACUCUCUCUAAUCCAUUUCUCUCUCAACUCUCUCUCUCUAAAUGCAGAUUUCGUCUCUCUCUAUCUUCUUCAAUCCCAUUUCACAAACAACUUAUCAAUAGAAAGAAGACUUCCGUGAGUAGCAAUGGCAGAACAGAACUCACAGCUCUUCGAGCUCAACAAUGGCACAAUGAAGGUCAUCGUCUCCAACUAUGGCGAUUAGAAUCUUAUGGCGUCACUUCCAGGUACUGGAUUGAUGAAGAUAUUUUAAUGAAAGUGGUUGAAGCCAUGGGUCUGGCAGUCUAGGAAGAUGCUACUACUUCAGCUGAUUUCUUCAGGUGAUUUUAUAACCCUUUUAAUGAUAUGUUUUGAACAGUUGUUACAGAUCGAGUAUGCUUUUUUGAAGUGAAAUUGAGGUCAAUUUUGAUAUGGAUAACACGGAGUCCGAUCUUUUCGACGACAUUGAUAAUUAUUUCCAAGAUUCAGAUAUUCAAGUACUUCACAAGUUGAAGGUUUUCCAUUACAACCAUGUUGAUCAAACGAGAAAUAUUGCAGAUAUUCAUAAUUAUCAACAGAUUUGCUCUGCACUUUCAGCUAUGCAAUUCUAUGGGCAAAUCAAUUUGUCCAAGAUCGAGAGCCAGCCUCUAAGAAGUCGUCCACUUAGAUCGAGAGCCGGCCUCUAAGAAGUCGUCCAUUUGACUUUUGGUAAAUAUGUAUGAUCUUUUAAAGGAAGGGUGUAAUCUCACAAAUUUGAUAAUGGCGUUUGAUCAAUGUAAGAAGAUGCUGAAUGAAUUAAAUGUUGUUAAAGUGAAUACCGAAGAUACUGCUGGUGCAGUGCAGAUUGUAGCCUCUAAAGGCGUACGAGACACCAAAGCAAUUGCCAUUUCUCGCGCAGCAGAAAUAUAUGGGCUUCAUAUUCUCUCAAAAAAAUUUCAGGAUUAUUCCGAUAGAAAUCACCGGUGACUCAAAUACGUUUAUCCGCUUAUCAUUGUCUACAGCUAUGAUUCCGUGUUCCGGUUUGGAUCGAAAAAGGAAUGAAAAUCAAUGUUUGGAUCAACGAUACGCAUCUAACAAGUUGUGCUGUUAUUAAGAAUGAGAGAAUUGUUGUUGUUAAAGAUCAGUGUAGUGUAGAUGUAGUAGGUGGAUUUGUUCGCUCGACGCUCAUAUCGCGUUUUGUGGGUAGCGAUGCAAACUGGGCAAGCAUCAAUGUCAUUGAAGGACAUCCCACAUCUUUUUUAUCUGAAAGAAGCAGGGGCGACUGAUGCUAUUCUAGAAAACGCAGAGACAAUUUUGCAACUUGGAUCAAAGCUCCUGAAAGGGCUGGGUGAUAUGUUUGACGAUGUAAACUUUUUAAUUCAAAUUGUUAGAGAUUCGAUGGAGUUGCAAAACAAUUGCUGUAGCCAAGGACCCUGAUGUUACGGAGUCACUACAGUGAGAGUUGGGGAUUUGGUAUCAACAAGAAAAUCUGGGGCGGCACUCCCAGCCAAGAAUCAGUGAGAAUUAAACAAGCGGAGAGAGAUCACAUCCUAAUGACACAGGAACCACCAAAGCCGAAGUCCAAGCCCCAGUCAAGUGGGGAGGACGGGAGAGGCGUGUUAUAUUAUGAACUUGAUAUGGACAACAAUAUUCCAAACCAACACUAAAUAUGGAAGAUUGAGUUAUAUGUAUAUAUCAUAGGGUUCACUCUGCAUGACACAAAGCCAGUUGAAUGGGAUUUGAAGGAGAAGUCUGGUCAUAUAUUUGUAAAUAACUGAAUUUAGUUUUGACAU